RNAcentral lists this long non-coding RNA (468 nucleotides) under Salmo salar (Atlantic salmon). Its description in RNAcentral is "lncRNA (ENSSSAG00000104956.1)". Lineage: Eukaryota; Metazoa; Chordata; Actinopteri; Salmoniformes; Salmonidae. The record is from RNAcentral.
GUGGAGCUUCUACUGUGUCAAUACAUCAAUACUAUAGUAUUGUCUCAUAGUCAGUUCAUUGUUUUAAUGUACUGUCUGUCUCAUCCCUUUACAGUCUGUCUCAUCCCUGUACAGUCUUCUUCAUCCCUGUACAGUCUGUCUCAUCCCUGUACAGUCUGUCUCAUCCCUAUACAGUCUGUCUCAUCCCUGUACAGUCUGUCUCAUCCCUGUACAGUCUGUCUCAUCCCUGUACAGUCUGUCUCAUCCCUGUACAGUCUGUCUCAUCCCUGUACAGUCUGUCUCAUCCCUGUACAGUCUGUCUCAUCCCUAUACAGUCUGUCUCAUCCCUGUACAGUCUGUCUCAUCCCUGUAAGUGUAGUGGAGUGUAUUUAAUAGCCCAUAGGAGUCCCCCCCCCCUCUCUCUCUCUCUCUCUCGCUCUCUCUCUCUCUCUGGUCUUCCUCCCCUCUCACUAUAUAUCUCUCUCUCUC